CGUAUUAAUUGACGUUCGUAAAACUGAAAUUGAAAUCCAAUCUCAGAGGACAUCUACGGCUCUUAAAAGAGCGCGCAUCAGACGACCUGUUAGUCGUAUAUCCUGUCCGGAUCAAAGGAUAGUAAUCUUUACCGGAUCUCGUGGAAAAUCCAUGGGAUUUAUGAAGCAUCUCGCUGACAUUUCUCGAUCCAGCUUUCAAGAAUCUCGAUGUUAAGAAUGUCUAGAAGUGGGAAAUCAUUAAAAAUAGGAAGAUGACCUGACAGUACAAAAUCUGAAGCUCAGCCAGCUCAUUAUAUCACUUUUGGGAGAAAUUCUUAAAUAAAUUAAUUCCAGGCAGUUUUAAAUAUGAAAGCAUUCGUCUGUUGUACUAUUUUUAUCUAUAUUUUGCCAAGCAUUGAGUGAAUCACUUUUAAUAUACCAUUUGAACACGCUAGAAAAUCUGUUCCUUCAAUAAGCAAAGCAAAAGCAUUGCUAGUAGAGUGUGGAUAGAUCUGAAGUCGGCUGCAGUUUUGACAGUACGUUUACCAUUAUGCUCUGGCAUUGUGUAUUCCCAUAUGAGCGUCCCGUCGAGAAGCCGCGUCCUUUUGAUCCACCCUCGCUCUUCAGCUUGUAAAGAAAAAAAAAGAAAGAAAGAACGAGAGCGGAUAGGAUGAGGAGCGUCGGUCCUUUGCGCUGCACCUAACACGCGUUCGAGACACGGUGCUUUAGGAAGGACGAGAGCGAGUAUAUACAGGCGGAAAUAAUAUUUUACCGUCGAGUCAACGACCGAAGAAGCACGCUCUUAUCUCUGCAAGGAAUAUCUCUGAAAUCAGAAGCAGGGGGAUUUCGAUAAAAAGUUUCGCUUGCUUUAUGCGGGCAAUCGAGAAACA
This is a long non-coding RNA of Eufriesea mexicana, 869 nucleotides long. RefSeq lists it as uncharacterized. The record is from RefSeq and is a predicted model, not a curated record. The transcript is spliced from 3 exons. Lineage: Eukaryota; Metazoa; Arthropoda; Insecta; Hymenoptera; Apidae.